UUCCUUCGCCUACCUGAAACAAUGAUAAAAGCGGAAAAAAUUGCGGUCCUCGGGCGUGGAAGUUGGCGGAGGCAUGCAAGCCCUGCAGAGUCCUUAAGUGACAAGCUUCUGGCAUUGCACGAGUUAAAAGGUGUCUUCAUAUCUGGUAGAUCUUGCUUUGCAGUCCUCUUCUCAAGUGUCCUUGGACAAGUGCAGCUAGCCGCACUCAUUGCUUGCAUUGUUAUGUCUUCAUUGCGUCUGAAAAGGCAAGAUUAUGUGGAUCAACAGAAUCAAGGGAACUAUGAUCAUAAGAACAUUAGGUGGUCUCUGAACAUCUUCUAUGCAUUAGUGCUCAGCCAAUGCAUUCUCUAUUUCCUAACUGGGAUACUGGCAAACCCGUUGAAACGGAUAACUCUAGUCUGUAUGAAGUACAAGCUAGACAUCUGGGGGUUUCUAGCUCUUUCUCGCUAUCUACAGGCAUGCGUUCUGAAAUGCAUCAAUGGUGAUCUUCGUGAAGCAGUCAACAUGGACUUGGUUUCCUUUGCAAAGCAGCUACUGAACUCUGACCCACUGGACGACCAGCUGCUGGGAAUUCGUAUUCUUGACCACCUCCUCAGAAGCAGGGAACACGAAGAUGAAUGCUACAAAGAAAAGGUGCUCACCAAGAUUCGAUCUUCUCUUGAUACCGUCGAGAAAGCAGUAUACAUGAUGGGCUUGGACAGAGAGGUGGAACAAGACACCAGAGGGCAUGCUGCGCGCAUACUGCUGGAGCUCGCACCUGGCCUUCAAGUCGAGAACUUUCCUGGUAUUUUUCAAUCUAUUUCUUCACUGCUUAGCGCACGCAGGACCAAGACCAGUGGAAGUUCCAGCAAUUCAACCUGUGCAAGCAAAGAGCUCAAAUUGCUUGGUGUGGAUAUUCUCGACAACCUCCUGACUAAUCCAGAAAACUGUGCGGAGGUGAAGAAUGCCAAGAACCUGCUCUCCAAGAUCAUACACAUUACAAGCUGCCAAGAUGAAAAGCUAGAUUUUGAUAUUGAUAAAAAGAUAGUCGAAAACUCACUAGAAGUCUUGCGCAAGCUUGUGAGCACAGCUGGUGAGACCGGCGAGGAGCUCAGGUGCCAAGUGUCUAGUAAUAUGUACACCAUAAGGAAUAUUGGCAAGUUCUUCAUAGAUCAUCCUGAAAGUGAACCACAGAUGCUUGCUCAAGCAGCAGACAUCCUUGCAUGCCUAGCUUCAAAUGACACUGCGAGAAAGGAGAUAGAAAGGUCACACCUAAUCAUCCGGAAACUCAUCGGUCUCCUAGCUGAAGAAAUUGAUGACGUCCAAGAAAGCUCCAUGAGAGUGUUGGCAGCCGAAGCGUUGGUAUUGCUCACUGCUCCUACCAAAGAAAACGGCGAGCUCAGUAUAGUGAGUGAAAGGAGCAUCAAGCCAGUAUUGUCAGAAAAUAAGCUUGAAGGCAUGCAGCGAAUUGUCUCGCUGCUCUCUGAUGAGUCUGCAGAGCAUAGAAUUAUGGUGGCAAAAUUCCUGCAGAAUCUGCGGAGUUACCGGGGAGCAGAAUAUGGUGAUCAGCUGGAGAUAAUCAACAAAGCUCUACCAAAGGUAACUGCUAAGCAGCACCUAUCCUGAUUCAAAUCUUGGAACAGAAAAUUAACUUUUAUCUAUUUUGCACCCAUAUGCGAAAAAUAAAAAAGGUUGGCUUUGGUUAUCUUACACUUCCUUCUGCUGAAGCAUAUACUCCCUCCAUCCCAUAAUAUAAGAGCGUUUUUUACACUAAUGUAGUGCCAAAAAUGCUCUUAUAUUAUGGGACAGAGGAGUAGUUUUUAUUUAUCUUCAUUUGACAUAUUAUCAGGGGCGGCGCUAGGGGUAUUCUUGGGUCUUCAUGUGAAUACCCAUGAUGUUUACAAAACAGUGUUGAUUUUGGCAAAAUAGUGACAAUUUUCGAAAAACAGCAAUGAUUUUGGCAAAAUGAAUACACAUGAAUACCCGGUUGCAAAUUCCUGGAGCCGCCCGUGCAUAUUAUGCUUGAAAUGGUGCAUAUACAUAUAUAUCACCCUUGCAUGAUAAAUCCAUAUUUUAUUUUAAACUCACUGGUAUACAUUUGAUUUUUGGGGAUGACAAGUAUAUGAAUGCUGUCACAGGUAUUGGAAGCAAUCAAGAUUGCAUCGGAUAAAAUAGAAGCGAUAGGUUGUGCUGAUGAACCUUCUGGUCAUGUAAGAAAACAGAUUUCUCCAUCUUCCCUGUUUAACAUAGUAAAUUCAUAGGGCCUGUUAUUCCGAUUCAACUAGUUUUCCUUUGAAAUUUAUAUUUUGUUGGAAUAGUAUUAUCCUUAUAUGCGCUGUAUACACAGGAGAUAGAGGCGCUGAUAACUGAACAAGGCAAGCUGCUGGAGAGCUUUAUUGGCCUGUGCAUGCAAAUUUGCAUCAGCGGGAAUGCAAAGCAGUUCACCGAUGCGCUGAGGAGUGCUGAGAUUACAGACGAUAUGUUCGUCCAGAUGCUUACAAAGAUACUGGAAGUGUACAAGUCUCCAACUUCCGAUACUCCAGGCAUAAGAAGGGUGGUGAUUCAACAAAUGAACUGGAUGAUGGAUGAGGACCAAGAGUACAUCAACAUUUUCCUGAAGCAUGAAAUGGAAAAUGCACUGAAAGAAGUAGUAGAGACGGCAUUGAAGCUUGAGAACUAUUGGUUCUUUCGUUUUGACGUCAAAGCUUUUGAGCAUGAGGAAUCCAUUUAUUCUCUUCUCAGCAUUUCGCCACUACUGCAGGCAGGUGGUUCGGGCUUGUAGUUGGAUCAGCAAACAUCUAUCCCAAGUACGUACUCUCUUCCAUCUCAUGUAAAACAUAUGCUAAUUUGCCGAUGAGAUUUAUAAUGCCUUUCAAAGAAGCUAUUUCGAGACUCAUAAACCCGCAGCUAUGGAAAUUUAAUUCAAAUUUCUCAAGAAUAAACAUAACUUAGGCUUAUGGUAGCCAGCCCAAAACAACAUAAUUUUGCUUUGGAAAUAAUCUAAGGUUAAGGCAGUCCUAGUAUUAAAGUCACGUGUCCCACUUUUCUCAAGUGCUGGCAUGAUCUAACUUGGAUUUUGUUGCAUGUUCUCUGCAGGGCACAAUCGUGAGAACACACCUACUAUAAUUGCCUACCUUCCUGCUCAAGCUAUCUGCCUAAAGCAAAUUUGCUUCGGGUUUCAGUAUUCGUGUGUUGAAUUCAGCUUCCCAGUUUGUUUAAUUUAGCCAACUUAUAAUAAUGCUCUCGGAGACAUACCUUACCGUGUGUCAACAAGGACUACUAUGCAAAUUAGACGGUUUGUCUAUAACUAGCAAAAAUGCCCGUGCGUUGCAACGGGUACAAAAUAAAUACAUGUGUGUGCUUUGAAAUUUGAAGAAAAAAACCACUUUGCAUACAUGGCAUGAUUGCAACUCAGAUCUGAAUGAAAUUUUCCAUGUAUAUGAAAUAGCAAAGUUUAACACACUGCCCAGUGAUGUACCAGUGUCAAGUUUUGUCUUUCGUAAAUCAGGAACAGGUCUUGUAUCUCUUGUGAUGUGAUUCGUCCCUAUGUCAGAAGAUAGUUAGAAAUCAAAACAGGGUGUGGAAAGAAACAUGUAAAAGAGUGCUAUAGUGACUAUUGUUGGCAACAGGGAGGUAGUUAUAGACACAGUAAAAUAUGUUGGCAUGGCCUAUGAUUUUUGCUUGGAGAAAAUAACUACAGAAAAGAGCACAAAUACGUAAGUAAUUUGGUAUGAUGGCCCAACUAAUAUAUAUGUUGCUCUAAUAAAUUGGUUAGACAUUGGCUAAAAGCCAAAUAAUCCCUUUUUCACUACAGACAACAGCUAGAGCAAGGGAUUGAUGUAUCAGGUAAAGUAAACUGCCAAAUCCCUCUUUACUAUUGGAUAUUCUUCAGAAAACAUAGUCCUGCAUGUAUAUAUUGAGCAAAAUGAAUGAAGAAAAGGGAACAUAUUCACUCAUGGUAAAAGUAAUUGCACUCUGACAACUAAGAGAAUAAGUUAGAGCAGGGGAGAUUGCUCUUUCUAAGCUAUAAUAGCAUGCAAAAAAUGGGCCCUUUAUGAAGAUGAAGGUAGACCAUCAAGUUGCAGUAAGUGAAGUGCUGGACAGUGAUAUACAGUAUGGUUGUUUUGUAAUGUGUCCCCUCGUAUUUAAAUAUGCGAUGUGAUGCUACAGUAGACAGUAAACAAACAAAAAAUGGCCGUCAUACAUGAUUGUUAGAAAGAGGCCUCACAUUUGAUCGAUAUCAUGAUUGUUGCGCCAUGAUACACCAUUUUCAAUCUUGCAAAACCGACCGGCCUUAUUCAUGUCAGACCUGCACAAAGGUUAUAGGCGUCUCAGAUUCUAUUGAAUUCACUACUGGUUUAAUUCUCAAAAUUUGGUCUCAACAAAUAGAAAAGGUAAGUAAGUAUUAGCAUAAUGAAAUGUAAUUAAUGUCACUUAAAAACCAAAAUAGUCCACCCAAAUGCAGUUAUAAAAAUUCUAGAACGAGAAAGAAAGAGCCUGUGCAUUGCAAUAAUGGGGAUAAUACUUAUUUCUCUCCCUCCAUAUCUCCUUCGGGUGUUGAUGCUCUCG
This 4548-nucleotide long non-coding RNA is filed under the name Triticum aestivum (bread wheat). RNAcentral describes it as "long non-coding RNA (TAES_LNC024947)". Lineage: Eukaryota; Viridiplantae; Streptophyta; Magnoliopsida; Poales; Poaceae. The record is from RNAcentral.